CCUGGGGACACAGCCGUCCCACCUGGGCCACCUGAGCAGUGGCGUCAGGAAGCCCGGGAGGAAGAGCCGGGGCGGCGGACAGGAUCCGCCACUAGAGGGCGCCGCUUUCCCCCGUUAAACAUGGCGCUGCCCGCUUGGUCCCAGGCCCGGGGAAGGCGCGCGGCCUGCGUGGGUCUCUGGGAAUCCAGCAGGACUCCUUUUGAUCCCGGGCUGCGCUGAAUGGCAGCGGCCUUCUGGGGGCCAUUUCUCCGGUGCCCUUUCUGGGGCACUGCCUUCCUCUCUCGCCAAUCUUUUCCACUGUCACCAUUUCCCCGUCCGCGGGGCGGGAGAGGGAUGUGACCGCGGCCCCUGAGCCCUUGCUCAGCCCCUGACUAGAGAAGGACCCGGGCCGGUCUGGGGGACCCGGGGCUCAGGGAGCGGCCGGGCAGUACUCGAUGUCCUGCCAGGACAUUCUUCUGCGCUGUCUCACCCUGGCCGCCUCCCUCCUCCCGGCCGGCCCUUCCCUCAAGCUCUCUGAACCGAGGGUCUCCAGGGCAGAAGACAUCCCAGUGCCCUGUCCAAAACGCAUCUGCAACGUCGACUGUGGUCUAUGCGCCUAGAGACUCUGGUUAGGG
Molecule: long non-coding RNA, 614 nt
Filed under: Heterocephalus glaber (naked mole-rat)
Lineage: Eukaryota; Metazoa; Chordata; Mammalia; Rodentia; Bathyergidae
Description: lncRNA (ENSHGLG00000043137.1)
Source: RNAcentral